CAAAAUCAAUUCUCAAUCCAGAAAGCAGCAAUCAGGAUCGCUACCUUGCAUUGAACUCUUCUGAAGGUUUGGCAGAAAAUACCACAAGGACAAUACCAGCAUCAAUUCGCACAUUAUUUCUCCAUCUAGAGGGUGGCGUAUCUACUGACAUGCUUUUAAGAUUCAAGUGCUUGCAUGUUCUCAGAUUGUCCGGCGAUGAUGUCAAGUUUCUACCGAGCUCCAUUGGCAAACUACUACAUUUGCGGUUGCUCGACAUUUCAUGUUCUCUAAUCACAAGUUUGCCGGAAACUCUUUCCAAGCUAUAUAAUAUGCAGACACUAACGAUGAGAGAUCAUGCAUUUGGAGGAGGUUUUCCAAAACAGAUGAGUGAUUUGAUCAGCUUGCGGCAUCUAAACUACUACCAUGGUUAUGCGGAAUUUGAAAUGCCGGUGCAGAUGGGACGAUUGACUUGUCUUCAAACUCUGGAGUUUUUUAAUGUAAGUCAAGAGAGGGGUCGUGGUAUCGAAGAGCUUGGGACCUUGAAAUAUCUGAAAGGAUCGUUGGAGAUAAGAAAUCUUGGACUAGUGAAGGGCAAAGAAGCAGCUAGACAAGCAAAAUUGUUCGAAAAGCCAGAUCUGUCUCGCUUGGCAUUUGAAUGGAAUAGGAGGGAUCUGAAAAGUGAUAACCAUGAUGAGGAUGUGUUGGAAGGUCUCCAACCUCACCCAAAUUUGGAAAAGCUGAGGAUUUAUUGUUUUAUGGGUAAUAAAUUUCCGCAAUGGUUUAUGAAUUUGUCAAAAUUGGAGACAUUACAGAUAGAAGACUGCAAGAGAUGCAGUGAACUCCCCUCAUUAGGGCAACUGCCAUCCCUCAAAAGUCUCUAUUUGAGAAGCUUGGACAACAUUCGAUUUAUUGGAGAUGAAUUCUACGGUAUUACUGCUAAUGAGGAGGAGGAGGAGGAGGGCAGAUCACGAGCAUCAGGGAGCAGCACUAGAAGACGAAAAUUCUUUGCUGCCCUUGAAGAACUCAAAGUAGAAGAUAUGGAGAAUUUGGUAGAGUGGAAGGAUGCAGACCAAGUGAGGUCAACAGUAGGUGAAGCAGAAGCAGAUGUCUUUCCCAUGCUGAGGAAAUUGAGCAUUCAAUAUUGCCCACAACUGACCACUCUUCCAUGCUCGUGUAAAAGUCUACACGUGGAGAGUUGCGAUAAUCUAACAAGUAUAAAAAUGGGUUACGGCGCUGCUUCUGUUGAGGAGUGGUGGAUCGACUCUUGCGACAAUCUUAGGGAGCUGCCAGAUCUGGAUCUGUUUGGAUCGAGUUUGCAGCGAUUGACCAUCGCAAGUUGCCCAAGAUUAAUUAGUCUAGGAGUAAAUGGACAGAAAUGCCCCCUACCAUGCCUUGAGAAAUUGAGAAUUAAUAAUUGCGAAGGGUUGACCACUAUAUCCGACAAAAUGUUCGAGUCAUGCCCGUCUCUGCGGUCCCUGUGGGUGAUGAGGUGCCCCAAUUUGUUCUCGUUUUCGCUUAAUUUGCAGGAGAUGUCUUCUCUCGAGGAAUUCAUCUUAGUCGAAUGUCCCAAAUUGAUCCCUCAUAGGUUCAAUGGAUUUGCUUUUGCCACCAGCUUAAGAGAAUUGAGGAUUGGUCCCUUCUCCUCAGAUGACUCCUCAAUCGAUGAUUUUGAUUGGUCCGCAUCAACACUUCGUGAGCUUGAAUUACGAGGGUUGCCUCACUCGGAUUCCCUGCCACACCAGCUUCAAUACUUGACUACCCUCACUUCACUAAGGCUGGAGAACUUUGGAGGAAUAGAGGUGCUACCUGAUUGGAUUGGAAACCUUGUGUCCCUUGAAACCCUAUCGCUAUGGUCUUGCCAAAAGCUUCAGUCUUUACCACCCGAGGCCGCCAUGAGACGACUCACAAAGUUAACUCGUGUCGACGUCUUUGAUUGUCCUCUAUUAAGACAAUGAUACACUCCCCAAAGAGGCAUCUACUUGGAGGAGGAGAUUUCAAGUGAUCCGGUGAGAUUUUCCUAUCUAAAGUUCACACUCAUAUAUAUGUAUACAAAUUUUUUGUUUCUGCAUCUCAUUGACAUAUAUUUGCUCUUCAGUCUCUUGUACUCUUUUUCUCCAUCUCUUUUCCCCAAAGUUAUUCUCCGUAAUUAAUUCUCUUCUUUUGGGCAGACCUUGGUUUCUUUUCAAAGAUUAGUUUUAACAAAGCCUGGUUUUGAGCAAAUUAGAAGAGACCAAAAUUCUAUAUUUUCUCUGCAUCUCGCCAUUGAAAGAUUUUGAACAUCUUAAAAACUCAACUUGUUACCUUCUAUUUGGCCAAGCAUGAAAUUAUUAGCAACGCUGCAUACACAAUUAGCCUCUUUGUUUGAAUGUGUUAGCAAAUGACUCGAAUCAAAGGACACAUAGAAUGCUCUCUUUUUUUGAAUCGAAUUCAUCAAUAUCUUUCCAUAUAUUUAAAUUAAUUUUAUUAAGUUUUCUUCUCCACUAAUCCGACAAGUUAUCUUCAGUCUAAUCCAACAAGUUAUCUUCAGUCUACUAAAUUUAAAUAAUUCCAUUUCUCAAUUUGAUUCAUAAUUACAUAAGCAAUCAAGAAGCUGGUUGAUGAAAGGAAGAAGUCCUCAUCCAUUUUAAAUCUCUUUGUUUCCCAUCUUGAUUGCUUAAGUAGUCAAGAAGAGUUGGCUUAAUUGUUUAAGUAAUCGAGAAGAUUCUUUGCAGUGUGAAUAACAAAUAAACAUUGAGAAAAAAGAAAGAAAAAGAAAAAUGCAAAGUAGGAAGAUGCAUUUUCGAGGAAGCAACCACCAGGCAUACUCUAAUACCAACCAGAUUAAAUAAAUGAACUCGAUAAAUAAAGUAGAAUAAAUUGAUUAAUCAGGGCGAGAUUUCAGAUCUAUGUCUCCUGUUGCCAGCCCUCAAUCAGUUUAGUUAAGUCAACUCUUCUGAGUUUUGUGCACUGUUACAUUAAUCGCAAUUAUACUAAUCUGAAUCUCACACAUCAAAUUUGUUGAUUACUACUCCAAUUACCCAUUCACAACAUAGGUAUCAACUGCCACGCAUUGCGUGGGACUCUCCCCUAAUAGUUAAUAAGAUGAAGAAGUCAUUAUCCAUUCUCGCUUCUUUUAUUUCUUGUCUUAAUUAUUGAAGUAACCAAGAAGUCAUUAGAUGAAUGAUCCCAUGAUCCAUUCUCCUUUCCUUGUUUCUUGUCACAAUCCAUUGGGAAUAUGUUUAGCAAGAUGAUUAAUUAUAUGAAUCCCAUUUUUAUUUAUUUUACUGAUAGUGCCACUGAAAACUACUGCUGAAUAGGAUCUACUAAUAGUAUCACUGAAAAUAACUACUGCAAACUCAACUCGUCCAAAAUUUUCUCAACUCGUCCUACCUUUCAUCACUUUAAUUUCAGUUUCAUCCAAUCACUUUCGGUUUUCAAUUUCAACAAAUAGGAGAAACUGGUUAUGUACAUUUCCCAGCUCUGAAAAUUCAUUUAAAUUACCAAAAGCUAUAGCAUUGACACAAGAAAGUUAUGAAUGAAAAAGGAACCAAACCAUAAUACUUCUUAAUCGCAUCAAAAAGCACUCUUUCCGCUAUUAAAGUUUUUAGCUUCCGAAGCUUCAAAAAAAAAAAAAGUGUACGUGACCGCACGAAUAAUUGACUAAAAAAAUUGAUGUGAAGAUGUCAUAUGCCAUUUUCACUUCUUUAUUUCAUUUCUUAAUUACUGUUUAUCGAUGGAAUCAAGAGGAUGCUUGCUGGUGUAAAUAAUACCAAAUUGAAAUGUGAAAAAUAAAAAGAGAAUCAAAUUGUGCAACUUCGAGGAAGUUGUUACGUGCGUCCACUCUAUCCAUGGUCACUUUAUUAUUCUUUGUUCUUGGCCUCUGUGGCGCUUUUCACAUUUUCCAGAUCUGAAACAAGUCCUUAAUCUGUUUUUUUUUUUGGCAACCACUUUCAUUUCUUUAUCUUUUAUUACACGAGAAGAUGUUUGAAGCAAAGAAGAAGCAAUAUUGCCCAAUGAGCAUCUAAAGUCCACAUGUAAUCACAAGCCGCUAGAGUUGCCGAGUGGAGGGCACUUUUUAAUAAUUUUAUUCCUAGAGAACAUAAAAAAGAGGUACUGCCUACUACUAGUCACUUCUCCUUGAGGACUUGGGAGGCGGAGUUGGAACUUUUGGGGUGUUGAUAUGGAAGUGAUGGAAACUUGAAGCUUGGAGUGCAAAAAAGAAAAAAAAAAAGAAAAAAGCGUUUGGUCAAAAACUUGUUUAUCAAACAAACCCAAAAAAUUAGUUUGGUGAGAAUAUAAAAGAGUUAGUGGGAGAUCAUUAUUCGUUAUUCUACCAAAUUGAAAUUUCUCGAUCUUUGCUUCUUCCAUUUCUCCUAGCAAAAACCCUUGCUUUCUUAGUUCUUUUCAUUUCCUCACAAACGAUCACACUUGGGAAAUCAAGCUUAAGCAAGUGCUUCUCAAGAGCUAGGAGAUCUUCCUUUAUAACUUAAUCAAGGUAACUCUUGCAUCUUUUAAGUUUUCUUUACUUGACUUGAUUUGGUUUUGGGUUUAAUGUAAGUUAAGCUUUGGUUUUGAGUGGACCUUUUGGUAGAGAUCCUUAUAUAUGUGGUAGUUUGGUGAUUGUGGUUAUUUUUUUAUUGAGGGAUAAUUGUUGAAGUUUUGGAUGUUUGGUGAUGUUUUGGGUUGAUUUGUACUUGGUUGUUGUACUGGGUUGGACAUAGGUAGAAGAGGUGAAAAAGGAAGUAAAGCUCGAAAUUUUUAUUAUCACAAUGACAAAACUAAUUAGUAUCACAUUUGCCAUUGAUCUAAAACAAGCUAUUGAUGAAAACUAGUGUCACGGAUUCAUCUUAAUGGAGUACUAUUAAAUGGAAUUUAUUUGAAUAACUAAAGGCCACCAGCGUCACAAGUCAUUAGGGGUGUGAAUCGGAAUCGAAAUUGGUAAUUUGGAACUUUGAAAUUGAAAUUUUUUGAAAUUUGGGUAUUAGAAUUUUCGACCAAAUUCGAUUUCAAGUUCACCAACUCCAAAUUCAAUUUGGAAUUCCGAUUUCACCGAAUUCAUGAAUAUAAAAAUUAUUAUUAUUAUAAUAUAAAUAUUAUAUUACAUAUAUAUAUAAAAAUAUUAUAUAUAUAUGUGAAAACAAAAUUGAAAUCGAAAUAGGAAUUCCGAAUUCCGAUUUCGAUUUCGAUUUCAAUUUCGAAUUGUGAAUUCGAAAUCGAAAUUUUGGAUUUGAAAAAUCUCAUUACCGAAUUCGACCAAUUCGAAAUCGAAUAUUCCGAUUUCCAUUCCGAAUUAUCAAAUUCGAAAUUUCGAAUUUAAUUCGAAUUCAGUCGAUGAAUCGAAAUUUUUUGACUUUGCACACUCCUACAAAUCAUUGACCAAAGCCAGUUUUGCAGUCUCAUCAUACCUAGGGAUGGCAACGGGGCGUGGUUGGGGCGGGGGACCCCUCCCCCACCCCCCGCCCCGUUGCCUAUUAGUUCCCCCCGUCCCCCGCCCCGUCCCCCGCCUCCCGCUCCCCCAGCCCCGCCCCUCCCCCGCCCCGUCUUGCCCCGCUUCCCCCGCUGGGGCACCCGCGGGGUUAAUAUAAUUUUAUUAUAAUUAAAUUUUAAUAAAUAAUCAAGUACUAAAAUAUCAACACAUCACCAAAUUAUUAUUCAUUGUAAUUUUACAAUUGAAACUCAUAAAAACAAUCAAACAGAAGUUAUUUGAAUACAAUCCAAUAUGAUGAAAUAAAUAUAACUAAAAUAGUCAAGUUUUCACUUUUAGUACAAAUGCAAUCACUAAUUCAUUAUUGUAUUUGUGCUUUUUUUUGAGAAAAAAGUGUUAUUCUAUUAAGUGUAAUUAGAAAUUUAGUAUAAAUGUAUUAGUAAAUUUAGUAUAACUAAUUAAUAAAUUCUAUUAGUAGACAUGUAUAAUUAUUCAUAUAAUUGAUAAUAUCAAUUAUAUUACAUAAACUAAUAUACAUUAUAUAAUACAUCUAACUAAUAAUAUCAUUAUCAUAAGUUUAUAACUAAUUAACUUACAUAUUAUAUAUAAUUAUAUAUAUAUAUUUUUUUUUGUUUUGCGGGUGGCGGGGCGGGGGUAUGCUCCCCCGCCCCCCGCCCCGUUUCUUAGCGGGGGGAAAAAUUCCCCCCGCCCCCGCCCCAACCCCCGCCCCGAGAGCCCCCCGCCCCCAUUGCCAUCCCUAAUCAUACCUUAGAACGAGUCUUUGUGAUUAACAUAUUUUUUUUAAUAAUUCAUGCUUUUCUUGGAGCAUUGGGGAGCCAUCAAUGUAGCAAUUAUGAGAGGUGAUAACAAAUAUUGCAGCACAGUGAAGGGAAUUCAAGCAAAAAGCAUCCAGUAGCUGUGGUACAAAUACACGAUUAAGUGAAUAAUUAACAAAUAGUCGAUGAGAAGCUGUCCUCACUUCUUUAUUUUUGGUCUUAAUUACUAUAAUAAUAAUAAUAAUUAAGAAGUGGCUUGAUGGGAUGAAAAUGUCACAGCACAUUUCUUUGUUUCUCGUCUCAGUUCCUUCAGUAAUCAAGAAGAUGAUUUGUAAAUGCAAAUAAUAAAGUAACAAUAAGAAAAAAAUUAUAAAAAAAAGAAAAAAAAAAGCAAGAAGAUGCAAUUUGGAGGAAGUAGCCACUGUGUUUUGACCAUGACAGAUGCUUAUCAAGAUGACUAAUUUAAACUAGAAAACUUUGAAAAAGGUAAAGUGAUGCAUCAUGUUUCUUUUUUUUUUUUUGGGUGUUGCUUUCUUGACCAACAAAUAUCUGAACUAUAUCUUACCUACUUAGUAAAAAAAAUUAAAAAGAUAAUAAAAAAACAUGUCCUAGCUGCAAUUGUACUUUUCCACUUCCUUGUUUUUUUAAAAUUAAUUCCGACGAAGCAAAUUAGCCAUACUUUCUGCUAGAUAGAAUUUUUAGACAACCAAAGGCCGCCUACAUUGGCAAAACUAAUUACUCUCACAACUAGUUUCGGGUAGAAUUUUUAAAUAUCCGACAAAGGAAAAUUAGCAGCAUUAGAUAGAAUUUUCUAAACGACCAUUCUAUCUAAACGACUAAUGGCCACCACCAUUAAUCAAACUAGUAUUGAUACGGUCGACAAGAUUUUUUUUUUUUUUUGACAAAACAUAUGUCAAUAUUAUUAACAAUCUAGUUGGAAAUCAUCCACCACAAUUUGUUAAUUGUUUGACAAAGUAAUCUACACUAAUGGUAGAAAAUACAUUAAGCAUGUUACAGAUAUAUUUCAUCUGAAAAAUUAUAAGAUUUAAUAGAGUUACAAAAUAUAAAAGAUUACGCUGUAAAUCACAAAUCAUCAAAUCUGACUAAUUGAACGAGCCGCUUCAUAGAUAUCUAUGCAUGUCUAUUCUUUCAGAUCUAUUGUCCAACUGGUUUGACCUCAAAACUGAUGUUGAGAUUUGACGAAAAGACCUAAAAAAUUUUAGACCUAACAUAUAGAUUUGAAGAAAUUCUUAGAUUUGAGAAAAUAAAUAACAAAAAAAACACUAAACAAAACUCUCACCAAGAUAGUUUGGGAGAGAAAAAAACUCUCAUUAGGAUACUUUAGAAGAGAUUUUAUUAAAUAAAAGUAAGCACAAAGAGGAAGGGAGACCUUGGCUUAGGGCCAAGAUCUUCCUAUGGAGGACGAAGAGUAGAGAGAAAGUUGAGAGAUAAGGGGAAAAAGAAGGUUGAGGGAAAAGAGAAAAUAGCCCCUACGGCCGACAAGAUUUUCGUCUAAGCUUUCACACAGCUAUUCUUUAUCAAAUCAUGCAACACAUAUUUAUUUGCGAACCAAAACUUGUAACAAAUAUUACAACCGGUUGACACAUUAAAAUCGUACUUAGCCAUAUUUCUAGAUUACAUAAUCUUGAGGGAUGCUUUUAACUUCUCUGGCCAAUACAACCAUAGACACGGAUUGGUUAAAUGAGUAUAGGGGCAAUUUUAAUGAUAAAAAAAUACAGAAAGUGGAAGACUGGUGGAUGAGUAUUGGUGUGUCAACCAUCAUUUACAGAAAAAAAAAUACAGAAAUGAUAAAAAAAAAUGGUGGAUUGGUUAAAUGAGUAUAGGCGAAAUUUCAAUGAUAAAAAAAAUACAGAAAGUGGAAGACUGGUGGAUGAGUUUUGGAGUGUCAACCAUCAUUUACCUUGUAGUUCUGAAUAAUAGCAUAUAGAUUCUUUAUACUUUUAAGCACAUUCAAUUAAGAUGUCUCAAUUUAGAACUUAGAGACAGAAUUUAAAGUUUAGAGACAGACUAAGGGUCUGUUUGAUAAUAUAAUAAAGUGCUGAAACUGAACCUUUUCAGACAUUCAGAUGUUUUGAGUGUUUAAUAAAUGAAAAUCCAUCUGCUGAACUUGUUAAGUAAUGCUAAACUUGCAUGUAUUUUUUUCAGUACAAAAAUCCUAACUGAAUGCUUAAUUCUGAUAAAAAUCAGUAGAAUUAUUUCAACUACCUUAUCUUAUCUACCAAAUCUACCCUUGUUUGUUAAUUAUAUUCAAAAUUAUUAUCUAAUUAAACAACCUGAUAUUCUCUAUCAAACGAUUUUCUGUUUCUUUUUUCUCCUUUUUUAAUGACUUUCACAUUUUCUCCAUACUCCUCAUAUAAUAUAUUUCAUCUUUUAUAUUAAUUUGAUUUAAAAAUAAAUUAUUGUCGUUUUCAUACCUAAUAAUUUUAAACUAAUUAAAUCAUAGGUUCUAUUUCUUUUUUAAAUGAAAGAUAUAAGGGCAAAAUUAUCAAAUUAAACUUAUUACGCACUCGGUUAUAAAUAUUUGUCAAACAGUAUAAAUAGGUUUAACAUUAAAAUUUAGACAUUCAUAUAUUUUUCUUUUCAGUGCUUAAAAUUCAGCAAAAUAAUUGUUUCAGUAUUCAAAUUUCAAAAUUCAGACUUCAGAAUUCAAAUAUAGUUUAAUCAAACGGAACCUAAAUUAAGAAUCAUGCUAUAGUUAAAGGAUUAAAGUAUCCUAAUUUAGAAUUUAAGAGCUAAAGCGUCAUGUGCGGUUAUCACAAUUCUUACAGGCCCUUAAUCUGGUAUACCACCAGGGCGGAAUUAAGGUGGGGGCACUGGGGCACGGACCCCCACUGUCCCCCUUAAAUUCUUAUAAUAUUUGUACAAUUUUAACGUAAUUUUGAGUGUGCCCCCACUCCCCAAAUUCCCUUUCCUCCUAUGUCCCCAAUUUUCCCUCCCACAACUGAUGGUUUCUCUUUUUUAAUCCAUCAUUUACUUCCUUUGUCCCCACUUCCCAAUUUCCCUUUCCUCCAUCAUUUAUUGCUCCUCUGGUUUCCCAUUUUCCCCCAACAGAGCCACAAAUCUAUCCGCACCGAACCUUGAUCAUAAGGACCUCCUAUCUGCCGUCCCACACUGAAUUGGAUGUUCUAAGUUGGAUAUUCUUGCACUUGACACUGAAUUGGAUACUUAUAUUAAUGACUUGAAAUCAGCCAAGGAAUUUCUUGAUUUAAGAAAAAUCUCUGAUCUAGCUUAAAGGUUGGUGGAGACUAAGAGAGAUAUUGUGUAUCCAUUGGUUAAUAUGCUCUUAAAGUUGGCUUUGAUUUUGCCUGUUACUACAGUUACAGUAGAAAGGGCUUUUUCAGUUAUGAAUAUAGUGAAGAAUCGGUUACGAAAUAAAAUGGGAAACACUUUGAUGAAUAAUUGUUUAGUUACUUAUAAUGAGAAAAAUAUACUUCGUGAAGUUCAAAAUGAGAAAGUCGUAAACCGUUAUCAAAAUAUGAAAACUCAUCGUGAACAAUUGUAAAUAGUUUAGUUUGUUUUUGAAAUAAAAUUAUUAUUACAUUAAUAAUUUUGAGUUUGUCUUUUUUUGUUUUUCAUGGAAUAUACGUAUUAUUUGUACUUGUUGGUGAAUUUUUUUUUUUUUUGCUUAAAAAACUAGAAAAAGAGCAGAUAAAAAAAUUUUACUGUUAUUUUUGUCCCCAUUGAGAUUUUUUUCUAGCACCGCCACUGUAUACCACCACUAUUUCUUGAGGUUUGCUUAUUUUAUUAAGCAACAUAUAAAUCAAGUAGUAAUUGAAGUUACUGGUUUAUACAAUUGUAAUUUCAUUCGAAUGCCGAGAUCAGAGAUAGUCUCUCUUUUUUUUUUUGCAAAACAAGAUAAAAACCAAGCAAGUUCCAUACUAUGAAAGUCCUGUCAACCUCAUUUUAAUGUUAGAAUGUAAGAAAGAAGUCCUAACAACCACCGAACACUUUGUUAUGAUUCAAUUAAUUCAUUGGGUUGAGCAAAGAAACUGAGGUUUCAAUUCCAGCAAGAAAAGGAUACUCUGUCUAUCAGCCACCUCUUUUUAGACAUAUUUUAAAAGACUAAAGGGCUCCAGCAUUGACCCAACAAAAGAGGUAGUUUUUUCAUUUUUUAUCUAUUAGAUUUGAGUUUUUUCACGAAUUGAUUAUCAAAUUUGGAAUUUCUUAGGUCCAUUUGCUAGAUUUCGCUAUAAUAUUUGAACUUGAAAUACUUAAUUAGCAGAUCUAUCAAUUGAAAACAUACAUAGAUAUUCGUGGGACCAUAAUUAUUUUAUUUCACUUUUUAAAAUAUUUUUUGGAGGUUUACAAUGUAAUUUUUAUCUAUUUUUCGGAUCUAUACUAUCCAUACUUCAGAUUUGGUCUUUGAUAUUUGUGUAUAUUUGAUGAUAUAAUUUUUGCCAUUAGUGCAAAUUUUAAUGAAAUUAUGAUGUUUGAUAUAUAAAAAAAACGUCUACUAAAUUUAAAUAAUUCCAUUUCUCAAAUUGUCCUCAUCGAUUCUAAUCUGUUUGUUCCCUGUCUUAAUUGCAUAAGUAGUCAUGAAGAGUUGGCUUAAUUGUUUAAGUAGUCGAGAAGAUUCUUUGCAGUGUGAAUAACAAAUAAACAUUAAGGGAAAAAAAGGAAAAGAAAAAUGCAAAGUAGGAAGAUGCAUUUCGAGGAAGUAACCACCAGGCAUAUUCUAAUACCAGCCAGAUUGAAUAAAUGAACUAGAUAGAUAAAGUAGAAUAAAUUGAUUAAUCAAGGCGAGAUUUUAGAUCUAUGUCCCCUGUUGCCAGCCCCUCAAUCAGUUUAGUUAAGUCAACUCUCUUGAGUUUUGUGCACUGUUACAUUAAUCGCAAUUAUACUAAUCUGAAUCUCACACAUCAACCCACGAAGGAAUCGUUAACUCAUCUCUUUCUUGUUCUGGGCUUCUAUUCUGAUUUCUACCAUUUGUUGCUGAAAACAUUCCUUCCAUCUCUGAUAUCAGAAAACCUUUCGAUCCCAGUUCCAAUUCCAAGCAAGAAACAAUGGCUGAAGCUGCUAUCAGUGCAACUGUUAAGGUCCUCUUGGGGACAGUUAUUUCCAUUGCUGCGGACCGCAUUGGUAUGGUUCGGGAGGUCGAAGCGGAGUUGGAGAGACUAAGCAAUACUGCUGCAAUGAUCCAAGGUUUCCUGGCUGAUGCUGACGGGAAAAUCCAUAGCCAAGGGGUGCGAGAGUGGCUCAAGCAGCUAGAGGAUGAGGUUUUUAAAGCUGAUACCGUGCUGGACGAGCUCCACUACGACAAUCUUCGUCGGGAGGUGAAGUACCGAAAUCAACUCAUCAAGAAGAAGGUAUGCUUCAUCUUCUCCUCCUUUAAUGCAAUUGGUUUUAGUUCCAGUUUGGCUUCAAAGAUCCGGGACAUCAACACCAACCUAGAGAGGAUCAACCAGGGAGCCGGUCGCUUGGGAUUGACCAACCAAAUUGAAGCUGCACCCCCUGCUGAUGCCGCUGGUGCCAGACAGACCGACUCUAUUGUCGUUCCGAACGUUGUAGGAAGAUCCGGCGACGAGUCAAAGAUUGUGGACAUGUUAUCGAGCCCAUCUGAAAAGGUUCUUUCUGUUAUUCCCAUAGCAGGCCCGGGAGGUUUGGGAAAGACAACUCUUGCUAAAUCAGUCUACAACAAUCCAAAAAUUGAUGAGAAUUUUGGCAUAAAGAGUUGGGUUUGUGUGGCUAGAAAAAUUGAUACAGUGGGGCUGUUCAAACUCAUUUUAGAAUCGUUGACAAAAACAAAGGUUGAAGUGGAUGGUAGGGAAGCCAUAGUUCAAGAAGUUCGAGGAAAGCUCAAGGGACAAAGAUAUUUCCUUGUUCUUGAUGAUGUGUGGGAUCAUGAACAAGGAUCGUGGGAUGACUAUUUCAACACUUUGAUGGGACUCAACGAAACCAAAGGAAGCUGGUGUCUUCUCACUACUCGUCUAGAAUAUGUGGCUAAUGCUGUGCCUAGAGAUUUGCAAAUGAAUGAUCGUCCUUAUUUCUUAGGAAAGCUAUCAGGUGAUGAGUGCUGGUCCAUCAUAAAAGGAAAGGUGAUGAGUGCAGGGGAAGAAGUACCAGAAGAAUUGGAAGCACUGAAGGAGCAAAUUUUAAGGAGAUGCGAUGGCCUACCCUUGGCGGCAAGUUUGAUUGGUGGCUUGUUGCAUACCAACAGAAGAGAGAAGUGGCACUCCAUUGUGCAGGAGAGCCUUUUGAAUGAAUAUCAAAGCCAAAUUAAUCAAAUACUUAAGGUGAGCUUUGAUCAUUUAUCAUCUCCAUCAAUUAAGAAAUGUUUUGCAUAUUGCUCGAUUUUUCCCCAGGACACUGAAUUAGGAGAAGAUGAACUAAUUCAGCACUGGGUUGCUAAAGGUUUUGUUCUACCAGAUCAGGAAAACACAAGAAUGAUGGAGGAAAGAGGAGGCGAGUAUUUAAGGAUUUUGUUACAAAGUUCCUUACUAGAAAAAGUCGAAGAUGAGGGGAGCACAUAUUAUAAAAUGCACGAUCUCGUGCAUGAUUUUGCAAAAUCAAUUCUCAAACCAGAAAGCAGCAAUCAGGAUCGCUACCUUGCAUUGGACUCUUCUAAAGGUUUGGAAGAAAAUACCAUAAGGACAAUACCAGCAUCAAUUCGCACAUUAUUUCUCCAUCUAGAGGGUGGCGUAUCUACUGACAUGAACAUGCUUUUAAGAUUCAAGUGCUUGCAUGUUCUCAAAUUGUCUGGAUAUGAUGUCGAGUCUCUACCGAGCUCCAUUGGCAAACUACUACAUUUGCGGCUGCUCGACAUUUC
Molecule: long non-coding RNA, 12946 nt
Filed under: Coffea arabica (coffee)
Lineage: Eukaryota; Viridiplantae; Streptophyta; Magnoliopsida; Gentianales; Rubiaceae
Description: long non-coding RNA (CARA_LNC000429)
Source: RNAcentral